Non-coding RNA from Ancylostoma duodenale, 46 nucleotides. The record is from Rfam. Lineage: Eukaryota; Metazoa; Nematoda; Chromadorea; Rhabditida; Ancylostomatidae.
CCAACGGCCCUCUUUGGGGCCACCACCUUCAUUUCGAAUACAGUUA